Molecule: ribosomal RNA, 403 nt
Filed under: uncultured bacterium
Lineage: Bacteria
Description: partial 16S ribosomal RNA
Rfam family: Bacterial small subunit ribosomal RNA
Source: RNAcentral
GACGAACGCUGGCGGCGUGCCUAAUACAUGCAAGUCGAACGCAGUGGGGACGGGUGAGUAACACGUGGGUAACCUCCCAUCAGAGGGGAUAACACUUGUAAACAGGUGCUAAACCGAUACUGAUGGAUGGACCCGCGGUGCAUUAGCUAGUUGGUGGGGUAAAGGCUCACCUAGGCGACGAUCUCUAGCUGGUCUGAGAGGAUGAUCAGCACCUCUGGAACUAGGACACGGCCCAGACUCCGACGGGAGGCAGCAGUGGGGAAUAUUGGACAAUGGGCGCAAGCCUGAUGAAACCAUGCCGCGGGGAUGAAGAAGGCCUUAGGGUUGUAAAGUACUUUCAGCGGGGAGGCGUUACCCGCAGAAGAAGCACCGGCUAACUCCGUGCCAGCCGCCGCGGUAAUAC